Molecule: ribosomal RNA, 451 nt
Filed under: uncultured bacterium
Lineage: Bacteria
Description: bacterial SSU rRNA
Rfam family: Bacterial small subunit ribosomal RNA
Source: RNAcentral
GCUCCAGACUCCUACGGGAGGCAGCAGUGGGGAAUAUUGGACAAUGGGGGGAACCCUGAUCCAGCGACGCCGCGUGAGUGAAGAAGUCUUUCGGUAUGUAAAGCUCUAUCGGCAGGGAAGAAAGAAAUGACGGUACCUGAAUAAGAAGCCCCGGCUAACUACGUGCCAGCAGCCGCGGUAAUACGUAGGAGGCAAGCGUUAUCCGGAUUUACUGGGUGUAAAGGGCGUGUAGCCGGGCUGACAAGUCAGAUGUGAAAUCCGGGGGCUCAACCCCCGAACUGCAUUUGAAACUGUUGGUCUUGAGUAUCGGAGAGGUAGGCGGAAUUCCUAGUGUAGCGGUGAAAUGCGUAGAUAUUAGGAGGAACACCAGUGGCGAAGGCGGCCUGCUGGACGACAACUGACGGUGAGGCGCGAAAGCGUGGGGAGCAAACAGGAUUAGAUACCCGUGUAU